RNAcentral lists this ribosomal RNA (810 nucleotides) under Streptomyces sp. M47(2015). Its description in RNAcentral is "partial 16S ribosomal RNA". It matches the Rfam family "Bacterial small subunit ribosomal RNA", at positions 181 to 993 of the family's 1533-position model. The record is from RNAcentral. Lineage: Bacteria; Bacillati; Actinomycetota; Actinomycetes; Kitasatosporales; Streptomycetaceae.
CCGGCNGGCNNUUCCAGCGGUUCGAAAGCUCCGGCGGUGCAGGAUGAGCCCGCGGCCUAUCAGCUUGUUGGUGAGGUAAUGGCUCACCAAGGCGACGACGGGUAGCCGGCCUGAGAGGGCGACCGGCCACACUGGGACUGAGACACGGCCCAGACUCCUACGGGAGGCAGCAGUGGGGAAUAUUGCACAAUGGGCGAAAGCCUGAUGCAGCGACCCCGCGUGAGGNAUGACGGCCUUCGGGUUGUAANNCUCUUUCAGCAGGNAAGAAGCGAAAGUGACGGUACCUGCAGAAGAAGCGCCGGCUAACUACGUGCCAGCAGCCGCGGUAAUACGUAGGGCGCGAGCGUUGUCCGNNNUUNUUGGGCGUAAAGAGCUCGUAGGNNGCUUGUCACGUCGGUUGUGAAAGCCCGGGGCUUAACCCCGGGUCUGCAGUCGAUACGGGCAGGCUAGAGUUCGGUAGGGGAGAUCGAAAUUCCNUGGUGUAGCGGUGAAAUGCGCAAAUAUCAGGAGGAACCCNGGUGGCGAAGGCGGAUCUCUGGGCCGAUACUGACGCUGAGGAGCNAAAGCGUGGGGGAGCNAACAGGAUUAGAUACCCUGGUAGNCCACGCCGUAAACGGUGGGCACUAGGGUGUGGGCGACAUUCCACGUCGUCCGUGCCGCAGCUAACGCAUUAAGUGCCCCGCCUGGGGGAGUACGGCCCGCAAGNCUAAAACUCAAAGAAUUUGANGGGGGGCCCCGCACAAGGGGCGGACCUUGUGGUUUAAUUUCGACGCAACGCGAAAGAACCNUACCAGGGCUUGACAUACCCGG